UACAGAGGCCCCGAGCGUUGUUCGGAUUCACUGGGCGUAAAGGGUGCGUAGGUGGCUUGAAAAGUUUGAUGUGAAAGCUCAGGGCUUAACCCUGAAAUGGCAUUGAAUACUGUCGAGCUGGAGGUUUGGAGGGGGGACUGGAAUUCUUGGUGUAGCAGUGAAAUGCGUAGAUAUCAAGAGGAACACCAGUGGCGAAGGCGAGUCCCUGGACAACACCUGACGCUGAGGCACGAAAGCUAGGGGAGCAAACAGG
RNAcentral lists this ribosomal RNA (253 nucleotides) under uncultured bacterium. RNAcentral's name for it is "partial 16S ribosomal RNA". It matches the Rfam family "Bacterial small subunit ribosomal RNA", at positions 524 to 776 of the family's 1533-position model. The record is from RNAcentral.